This 253-nucleotide ribosomal RNA is filed under the name uncultured bacterium. Its description in RNAcentral is "partial 16S ribosomal RNA". It matches the Rfam family "Bacterial small subunit ribosomal RNA", at positions 524 to 776 of the family's 1533-position model. The record is from RNAcentral.
UACGUAGGGCGCAAGCGUUGUCCGGAAUUAUUGGGCGUAAAGAGCUCGUAGGCGGCUUGUCGCGUCGAUUGUGAAAGCCCGGGGCUUAACUCCGGGUCUGCAGUCGAUACGGGCAGGCUAGAGUGUGGUAGGGGAGAUCGGAAUUCCUGGUGUAGCGGUGAAAUGCGCAGAUAUCAGGAAGAACACCCGUGGCGAAAGCGGCUCUCUGGGCAGUAACUGACGCUGAGGAGCGAAAGCGUGGGUAGCGAACAGG